This 310-nucleotide small nuclear RNA is filed under the name Chinchilla lanigera (long-tailed chinchilla). RNAcentral's name for it is "7SK RNA (ENSCLAG00000022162.1)". It matches the Rfam family "7SK RNA". From Rfam's summary of the family: 7SK was discovered as an abundant small nuclear RNA in the mid-70s but a possible function has only recently been suggested. Two independent studies have found that 7SK RNA binds the CDK9/cyclin T complex (known as elongation factor P-TEFb). P-TEFb activates transcription by phosphorylating the C-terminal domain of RNA polymerase II. Lineage: Eukaryota; Metazoa; Chordata; Mammalia; Rodentia; Chinchillidae. The record is from RNAcentral.
GGUUGUGAAGGUGAUCUGGCUAUGACAUCUGUCACCCCAUUGACCAUCAGGGUUGAUUCGGCUGAUCUGGCUGGCUAGGCAAUGUCCCCUUCCUCCCUCACUGCUCCAUGUGCACCCCUCCCGAAGCUGCCUGCUUGGUUGAAGAGGAUGACCACCCCCGAUAGAGGAGGACCGUUUCCUCAGUUAAGGGUAUACGACUGGCCACGACCCCUGUUAGAACUUCCAAACAAGCUCUCAAGAUGAGUUCAACAUAUGAAAGUCAAUCACUAUAAUACACCAUAUUCAUAGAAUUAAUGAGAAAAACCAAUGU